GUCCUUUUGUGGGGGAACCAGCGGGGAGGGAU
Molecule: ribosomal RNA, 32 nt
Filed under: Monosporascus cannonballus
Lineage: Eukaryota; Fungi; Ascomycota; Sordariomycetes; Xylariales
Description: partial 18S ribosomal RNA
Source: RNAcentral